Apis mellifera (honey bee) is the source of this 1500-nucleotide long non-coding RNA. RefSeq lists it as uncharacterized. The record is from RefSeq and is a predicted model, not a curated record. NCBI's taxonomy places the organism in Eukaryota, Metazoa, Arthropoda, Insecta, Hymenoptera, Apidae. The transcript has 3 exons.
CCACUUUUUUCUAUAACCUUAUUUGCCACAUGAUUAUGUGCGGUUAUUUUAUAUUUCGAAUAAUAAAUUAUCGAAAUAACUUUAUUCUUAACUUCGAUUAAAUUUUACCUAUCCAUGCCCCACAAUCCGUAUUUCGACAACAAGAGGGGGUAGUGGCGGAGAGGGUAGUCGAGCGAGGUCGAGGGGAAAUCGUAACCCAUAAAGCGUCGCUACUAGUCACAGCCGCGGCAGUAAGCGUCCUGGCGUCCGUCGAGAAUGCGGUAUGCGGUGUACCUCUGCGUCAAGAUCGACACGUGGUUGCUCGAACGAUAUUCGAUACCCAGCUGCGUGAUUAAAUCGAACGAUAUUAUAAAUACGUCCAUUUUAUUUUUCUUUAAUAUCUCUCUCUCUUUUUCUCUUUCGUAACGUGAUCAUUUUUUACUUAAUUUGCAACGAUGAUUGUAAAUUGAUAAAUGUACGUACAAUAAUAGAAUACAAUCGAAGCAAGUGUUGUGUCUUCUUCUUUGAAAACGCACCAUUACGUUUUCGUUCUUUGUGAUGUGAAUUGCUUCGUGGGAUUGGUUGCUUACGCGCGAAGAUGAUUGCGGUGAUUUGUCACGAUUUUUCACGAAAGAUCAAGGUGGACAAGCACAAUCCCGUCCAUUCCCUAUGCGGCCAGAGACACCUGCAUUGUCAUUGUCAGGUGAUGGACCGUAUCCUGGACUAACCGUGAAAAACAUCAUCAAGAGUUUUUUUCUAUUUUAACCUUUAAAAAGAAACCGUCUUAAAAUUCUCGUACGAAUUUUUAAGAAUCCAUCGUUCCAUAUCGACGAAUAAUAAAGAUUAUUUUUCGAAGGAUAAAUUUCGAAAGAAGAAACAUUUUCAACAUUGAGAAAACAAUGAUGAACACGAAGGGAACACGAUAAAUAGAUAUCUUGAUAAAAGUACAACCGAAAUAGAAGGAUAUGUCCUGUGAGAAGGCAUCGAGACGUCUCAAGUUCUUGCUCGGCAAGGCGAGGAGAUCUGGUUUGAGCACAGACGAGAUUGUAGACUUGCCAGCGGCCAAAAGAUUACUGUCCACCCGUGUCACUCCCUUCUCCACCGUAUGGACGAUCUUGGCCAUGCUUGUCUUAAUUCUCGGUGGUGGCGCUGUCCUAAUCUUCUUCUGCGCCCCCUGCGCCGCCAAGAGCAGAACGUGAUCGUCCAUAGAGGUCUGCACAAGACAAAAUCUGUCCUUUGGCUCGCGGAGUUGAAUUGGAAAGUAUUUUUAAGAAUUGAUUUAAUUAAUUUAAGCGAGAUAUGAUUGUAAGUUUAUUAAUACUCGUAUAAAAUUAUGAUGAAAUAAAUAAACGAGAAUAAGGGAUAAUCCGUAGUGUCCGUAAUGUAAAAAAUUUAAGAAGAGAUGCGAGAAGCCACAAUGUAUUGUAAGAUAGCUGCGUGACUUAGAUCUUCCAUAAUUUUAUCUUACAUCUUGAAUAAUUUUAAAAAAAAAAAAAAAAGAUCGACGAUUUUUAAAAAAAA